GUUUAAGUAGCAAAGAAGUUAAUGCCGUAGGUUUAGGUCCUAUUAACAAAGGUGCAAAUCCUUUCUUAAGCU
Molecule: transfer RNA, 72 nt
Filed under: Holothuria scabra
Lineage: Eukaryota; Metazoa; Echinodermata; Holothuroidea; Aspidochirotida; Holothuriidae
Description: tRNA-Leu
Rfam family: tRNA
About the family: Transfer RNA (tRNA) molecules are approximately 80 nucleotides in length. Their secondary structure includes four short double-helical elements and three loops (D, anti-codon, and T loops). Further hydrogen bonds mediate the characteristic L-shaped molecular structure. tRNAs have two regions of fundamental functional importance: the anti-codon, which is responsible for specific mRNA codon recognition, and the 3' end, to which the tRNAs corresponding amino acid is attached (by aminoacyl-tRNA synthetases). tRNAs cope with the degeneracy of the genetic code in two manners: having more than one tRNA (with a specific anti-codon) for a particular amino acid; and 'wobble' base-pairing, i.e. permitting non-standard base-pairing at the 3rd anti-codon position.
Source: RNAcentral